UACGGGGGGGGCAAGCGUUGUUCGGAAUUACUGGGCGUAAAGGGCUCGUAGGCGGCCAACUAAGUCAGACGUGAAAUUCCUCGGCUUAACCGGGGAACUGCAUCUGAUACUGGAUGGCUUGAGUUCGGGAGAGGGAUGCGGAAUUCCAGGUGUAGCGGUGAAAUGCGUAGAUAUCGGGAGGAACACCAAUGGCGAAGGCAGCUCGCUGGGACGGUACUGACGCUGAGACGCGAAAGCGUGGGGAGCAAACAGG
Molecule: ribosomal RNA, 253 nt
Filed under: uncultured bacterium
Lineage: Bacteria
Description: partial 16S ribosomal RNA
Rfam family: Bacterial small subunit ribosomal RNA
Source: RNAcentral